AUCAUCAUGCUACUGUUCUCUCACUUCAUCAUGUGUGACCAGUUCUACUUCGAGGUCAUUUCAACCAACCUCGUGUACUGUGGCAGACCCCCACCACAUGCGACAUACACUAUAAUCUAUGCAUCCGCUGCUGUUUGACGUCUUUCAAAAUUCGAAACUCCAUAAUGGCAUAAAUGCUCCCUGCCGCCACAAUGCCUCGGACACAGUUGGCCGAAUUCGCGAAGUGUGCGAUCGCGAGAUUGGUCCUUAUUUUCACGUGAUCAUUGCGAGAGCCUACAUGUGGACUUGCUUGUGGCUUUGCGUUCAUGACACUGAUAAGCUGCUAUGGAGAACAUGCACAUUGCCCGUCAAUCCUAUUUUGGACUGCUCGACCCCUGCGCCAAACGCCCGCUGUGGCCAUUUGUUCGAUAGUCUUUGGUCCUGACAUGGCAGCCAGAACGACAAUGGCGUAAACACGGCAAGGAAUGCCGCGCCAAGAAUGUCAGACUAGACAAACGCCAAUAACCCUACGUGCAGAGUGGACGAGUACGACUUUGCAGUGUUCAACGAAUCAACGUUUGCGUGCGGAGAAGACUAGGUGAUUCAGCAACGUGAGCGGCUUCCAAUCCCUAGCCUGGUAAAUCGAGGCUAGUACGGGUUCAGCCGUGGCGAAGAAAACGUGCUAUCGGCAUGGUUCGAGAUGGAGCUGUGGCAAGCCAAUGACCUCAGGUGAUGCACUUCGGCUGCUGACAGCUGCCAGGAAACCCAAGGAGGAUUAGACCAAAAGCUCGUGUGGAAGUCGGCAAAACGUUUCAACCGGCACCGCAAUAAAUCCCCGCGUUACUGUGUUUAUGGCGGCUCUGCUCGACCUGAAGUUACGGUCCCAGCAUUCAGCCCAACUGACGAAGCAACCGUCUGCUUGGUUGCAGUGACCUUGUUGUGUCGACUCUGCAAGAUGCACUGUCCCAUUCAGGGUGCACAUGGACAUUGCUGCCUGGUCCUGAAGGUGUACACAGCGGACUGACAACUCAUCGGAUAACGUCAUGAUAAGCCAUCAGAUGUGUAUGUGUGUGUGUGUGUGUGUGUGUGUGUGUACAUGGGUGCGUGUGAAUGAAAGAUAGGGACUCACUGUCCAGAAAAAGCCACUUCAAUCAGCUGUGUGGUGAAGACCAGGCUAUAAUUUGUGGUGGCCAAUUCAUCAGCCUAGCAAGUUGUUGAGUACUGUAAUCCCAGCACAUGUUCAUCUUGCUACGUCUAACAUAGCUGUUCGCUAUCAUCACUUCCACGAUGGGAAUGUCUGAGUCUGAGUGUGCGUGCGUAUGGGUGCGUGUUCGAAUACAUUGCUGGUGCUACCAACACAGUAAUAUACCGGUAUGCAUUGUUUGUGAUCAGUCUGUAGCUGGAUUGAAGAAUGCUCAUGCACGGUGUGAUCAAGGCAAGGCUCUAACCAGCCAGCACCUGCAAUCACAGCACAGUCUACUCUAGCAUGGGAAUAGCCUAUGAGUACUGAGCUCUGAGCUUGGGAGAUUUCCUCCUUUUCAAAGUUAGAACGGCUGCAUUGUAAGUUGCUAGGAUUGGAAUCUUUUUCUUCCUCUUUUCAUUCUAAUGUGUACUCAGUCUCGUACUUUUCCGGCUUUUUUCCAUUGUUUGCUAGCAAGACCAAUGCCAACUGAUGUAUGUACACAGCGCUCUAACGUUAUACUUGCUAUCAUGAUUAUCAUUAGCCCUAAUUAUCCAGGCAUGCACCAGACUCUAACGGCUCUUUCCAUCUACACACACACACACGCACACACAGUCACGUAUGUCUGCACAAGCGAGGAUGCUGUGUCCACGCUAGGCAAGCAGACAGUGUCAUUCAAGUACAUGUUGUACACGCUGAGUCCAAAGGAAGA
Molecule: long non-coding RNA, 1871 nt
Organism: Sycon ciliatum
Lineage: Eukaryota; Metazoa; Porifera; Calcarea; Leucosolenida; Sycettidae
Exons: 6
Source: RefSeq, a predicted model, not a curated record